UUGAAAGUGUAAUGUAAGUCGCUUUGGAUAAAAGCAUCUACUAAAUGACCUGUA
Molecule: regulatory RNA element, 54 nt
Organism: Gasterosteus aculeatus (three-spined stickleback)
Lineage: Eukaryota; Metazoa; Chordata; Actinopteri; Perciformes; Gasterosteidae
Rfam family: UnaL2 LINE 3' element
About the family: The eel long interspersed element (LINE) UnaL2 and its partner short interspersed element (SINE) share a conserved 3' tail containing a stem-loop that is critical for their retrotransposition. Presumably, the first step of retrotransposition is the recognition of their 3' tails by UnaL2-encoded reverse transcriptase.
Source: Rfam